AACUUUCGACAAUGGAUCUCUUGGCUCUCGCAUCGAUGAAGAACGCAGCGAAAUGUGAUAAGUAAUGUGAAUUGCAGAUUUUCAGUGAAUCAUCGAAUCUUUGAACGCACCUUGCGCUCCUUGGUAUUCCGAGGAGCAUGCCUGUUUGAGUGUCAUUAAAUUCUCAACUUCACCGAUUUGCUUUGUGUGAAGCUUGGAUUUGGAGCGUGCUGGACCCUUGUUCUUGGGUCAGCUCCUCUUUAAAUACAGCAGCGGAGUCUUCUUUGACUUUUGCGGUGUCGGUGUGAUAAUUAUGUUAUGCUGUUUUGGCCCCGUGGGUCUCAGUCCGCUUAUAAUUGUCUUUGGACAACCUAUGUAAUGUUUGACCUCAAAUCAGGUAGGACUACCCGCUGAACUUAAGCAUAUCAAUAAGCGGAGGCU
Molecule: unclassified non-coding RNA, 420 nt
Filed under: uncultured Atheliaceae
Lineage: Eukaryota; Fungi; Basidiomycota; Agaricomycetes; Atheliales; Atheliaceae
Description: sequence contains ITS2
Rfam family: 5.8S ribosomal RNA (bases 1-155)
Source: RNAcentral